GGGUGCCAUGUUGCCACAGGACAAGGCCCAAGAUGGUGUUUUGGGCAGUAGCAUCAGGCACAGGCCAGCGCUUCUGACCUUUGCUUCUGAAAACGGCUGUUGCUUCUUUCACCCCCCCUGGACUAAAGGAGAUGCCUGGUGUUCCCUUGCUGUUUCUGCCCAGAAGAGAAGCUACUAGUACAGCAGGCUGUGGAGUGAGCCCAGCAACAACUGAGACCACGUCCACCAACAAAUCCAGCCCUCCAACGUGCUUUGAAGUGUCUCAUGAGUGACAUGAGGCAGAGACUCUCUUAGAUUCCAAAACUUGUCCUGGUGAUUGUCAUCUGAGUUAUUAAGAAAACACAGAAUAUGCUCAGUGAAAUGAACCUGAGUAUUCCAGUCAGAGAAUUAACUGAGCUUCUUUUAAAUGUGAAAUGCGUGUUGUUUCUUCUUCUCUGGCCUUAAGCAUGUGGGAAAGAAGAUCAUUUCUAAGCAAAGGGAAAAGGAAAUUGUCUCAUAUUUAUUAAAUCCUUUUCCUAUCAGGAAGUAUGCAUCAGGAUUAUAUGCUUGGCAAGCAAGAGUACAUAUUUUGGCACAUUUUUCUCUUUGUAACUUUAACAGCCUGCCAGCAUUGCAGGCAGCACUAGCAGCAGUCUGUCCCAGACAGUUUUGAUUAUAAAUCCCAGUCUCUGCAGCAGGGCAGAGAGCUCUAUGGGGAUGGGUACUGUUUGGUCUCCUUGGCUCCUUUUCCUACCCAAGUGCACUGGGAAAAGAGGGGGUAGGGGAUAGAUGGAGAAGGCAAGAUGAUGGUCGUGCUUCUGGUAACUCCCUCUGCAUCCUAGUUAAGUAUCCUGUGAGUAAAUAUCCUGUGUAAAUUUGAGGAGAGUCCAGGCUUGUUGUGAUGGAGCCGAUGGUCUGCAAUCUAAUUGUAUCUGGAAGAUCUCCAAUAAACCAUUGUUUGAGUGCAACAACCCCCAGAAUUACAAAUGGCAUUGCCCACACAGGCAUUCCAGAAAUUGUGGACACAGUCUUUUCUUGGUUAUCAAAUGAAAAGUUAAAGGGUAAAUAUCUUUUAAAGUUCUGUUGGGACCAAACAUAAUGUUGUGAACUUUAAUCCUCCGUCAGUGCUCAGAUCUGUAUUGCUAAUUUUGCCAUUUGAGGUGGCAGUGUCUUCUCCAUUUACACAAGAAGGAAGAAAAAAAUAGCUGAGCAUCAUUAUGCUUGCUCAUAGUGAAGAUUUUCUGUGAGAGUGAUGGCCAUGCUGCUGAAAUAACUUACAUUUUUAAAAUAAAUAAAAUAAAUAAAUAAAAUGGAAUUACGAAGGGAGGCAAUUGAGGAAGAGUAGAUGUCCUUGUAUGGGAAAGAUUCUGAGGAAAAGGGUGAAUGUCCAACUAUCUUCUUGUUUUCAAGAAUAAUUUAGUACCUUUAGUGCUUGUUUCUUUCAGAAACUCAAAGUGAUUACAUAAGCAUGCUUAAUAAGGUAGCUAAAGUGUUACAUUAAUACAGUUUGAGUAUUAUGUUGACUUCUUGUUCUUCUAAGUCAUUUGAGUAGAAUGCAGUUCUGAAAUUUUAUGGGAACGUUCCAUCUACAAAUCUAUUUUAUCAUCAUUCUGUGGAAUGAACAUGGAGAGCAGCAAAUAAUGGAAUUUCAUAUGUUUUUCCAACUUAUGCCUUCAAGCAACUUUUAUUGCAUUUAAAACUUGUUUUAAAAUGAGUAAAGCUUACAUAUUAAAAUCUAGGAUAUUCCCUUUAAUAUUGAAAUUAAUGUUUUUAGUGGAAGAGAAAUGUAUAAGGAAUAUUUUUACUAAUUUUUUUGAUUGUGAACUGAUUUUAUGAAGCAAUUAAAUUACAUAUUUGGGUUUUGGUUAAGAUGGGUUUUUUUCUGGAAAUAUUUUUUUUAAAGCCAGCCAGUUUCUUCUAACACUUAAGGAGAUUUAAAGUUAGUAUUUUAACAAAAAAUGGAAGCUUAUCUACUGACAUUCUUUUUAACUUCAUGUAAGCUAUCUACAUUGGGGUCUGUUUUUAUGGCAUGUAAAUUUCCUGUCUACCUAUUUGGUUGAGUAAAAUGCCUGACACAAAUUGUUGGUGCUCUUAGCUUAGUUUUAUUAUAUCUGUUGGUCUGUGGUUUGAUCUCGGGUGUAACUUUUUUAAGUCUGGAAUAAGGAAAGCUGAAGUUACCAAGAGUGAAAACUUUGGUUACCAUGCAUAUAGAAGCUACUCUUUGUAAUGCAAAGGAAUUGGUUUAACAAAACAAAUUAUUUCUUUUUCCUCAAGGGCAAACUGAA
Passer domesticus (house sparrow) is the source of this 2264-nucleotide long non-coding RNA. RefSeq lists it as uncharacterized. The transcript has 3 exons. The record is from RefSeq and is a predicted model, not a curated record. NCBI's taxonomy places the organism in Eukaryota, Metazoa, Chordata, Aves, Passeriformes, Passeridae.